Molecule: long non-coding RNA, 761 nt
Filed under: Equus caballus (horse)
Lineage: Eukaryota; Metazoa; Chordata; Mammalia; Perissodactyla; Equidae
Description: lncRNA (ENSECAG00000044226.1)
Source: RNAcentral
CUAGGGAGUCUGCGCGGGCGCGGGGCGCAGGAGCUGCUCCAGUGACGGGCUGCUGACUCUCAGUCUUCUCUGACUCUAAAUGUGGAGUCCUUUAUAAAUAACUUUUGUGAUUAAAAAGGACAGGUCGGUGAGGGAUGAAAUGUGAUUCGAGGGUGACACGAAGGAAUUGUUUUCCGUGAGACAGAGGGACACGUGCAGCUGGGGCGAAGGGAGUGUCCAUAAUUCCCCAGCUGCUGGGGCUGCGGAGCAAAACGGGACUUCCACUGUCAGGAACUAGAAACCAGGCGAAUCAAACCGGGGGAACUGAGGCUCUGUGAUGCCGGGUGCAGAACAAACAAGAAGCAAGGCUGAGAGCUACGGUGAGCCCCCACCUCUGCCACAGGCCAACUAAAGAGGGUUUGAAACCUGCACCAACUACCCAGAGAAUGUGCUCUCCUUCAGUUUCCCAUUGGAUGCGGGUUCCUGGAACUAAGUGGAAACAGACAUUGAGGACUCGAUGCAAACAGUCCUCAGGAUCAGGGUGAUGGAGAGGGGUGAGGACCUGCAGCACUGGCCUGCCUGCCCGGGGCGCCUCCAUCACAGGGGGCUGGGCAGGGGAAGCAUCCACCUGCGGCCUCUCACGGGCUGAUGGGGGAGCUUGUUGCAACCAACGAAACUUGCAUGUCUUCAGUGGUCUUUCAACAACCAAAGUGGCUCUACCAAGGGCGUUGUGCUAAACGGCUGCCUCUGUGGAGGCCACAGCCCACGUCUCAGCUGACCGC